Molecule: non-coding RNA, 45 nt
Filed under: Schistosoma mattheei
Lineage: Eukaryota; Metazoa; Platyhelminthes; Trematoda; Strigeidida; Schistosomatidae
Source: RNAcentral
ACCCAGUUGACGAGUCCCAAAUAGGACGAAACACAUAUCUUGGAU